This 292-nucleotide ribosomal RNA is filed under the name uncultured bacterium. Its description in RNAcentral is "partial 16S ribosomal RNA". It matches the Rfam family "Bacterial small subunit ribosomal RNA", at positions 505 to 796 of the family's 1533-position model. The record is from RNAcentral.
GUGUCAGCCGCCGCGGUAAUACGGAAGGGGCAAGCGUUGUUCGGAAUCAUUGGGCGUAAAGGGCGCGUAGGUGGUCUUGUAUGUCUACCGUGAAAGCGUACGGCUCAACCGUAUUUAGUCGGUAGAAACUGCAGGACUUGAGGCUGGGAGGGGCUGGUGGAAUUCCCUGUGUAGCGGUGAAAUGCGUAGAGAUGGGGGAGAACACUCGUGGCGAAGGCGGCCAGCUAGACCAGUUCUGACACUGAGGCGCGAUAGCGUGGGGAGCAAACAGGAUUAGAUACCCCGGUAGUCC